GUCAUCCUUGGAUUGUGAUU
This 20-nucleotide microRNA is filed under the name Schistosoma mansoni. RNAcentral describes it as "sma-miR-2d-5p". Its record names the gene sma-miR-2d-5p. Lineage: Eukaryota; Metazoa; Platyhelminthes; Trematoda; Strigeidida; Schistosomatidae. The record is from miRBase by way of RNAcentral.